GAUUUUAGUCAAUUCUAUGAGUUUAACUAGGCCCAAAUAUUUGUUUCCUAAAACUUACUACUACUUAUUGUUUUAUUUAAAUCCCCUGUUUAUAUAUAGAUUUAACUCAAAAUAGAGCCAAAGCCAGAUUAAAACUUUCCCUAAAAUUUAAUCCAGAAGGACCUUAAAAGUAUGGAUAAAAACUCGGAACCACUUUAGCGCAAGUAUUUAACGACCGCUUUGAAAUUUACCCGCCAAGAUUCAAACUUUCCCUAA
RNAcentral lists this ribosomal RNA (255 nucleotides) under Daphnia pulex (common water flea). Its description in RNAcentral is "partial small subunit ribosomal RNA". Lineage: Eukaryota; Metazoa; Arthropoda; Branchiopoda; Diplostraca; Daphniidae. The record is from RNAcentral.